GAGGAUGCAAGCGUUAUCCGGAUUCAUUGGGUUUAAAGGGUGCGUAGGCGGCUUGGUAAGUCAGCGGUGAAAUUCCAGUGCUCAACAUUGGUCGUGCCGUUGAUACUGCUGGGCUGGAAUGCGGAUGCCGUGGGAGGAAUGUGUGGUGUAGCGGUGAAAUGUAUAGAUAUCACACAGAACACCGAUUGCGAAGGCAUCUCACGAAUCCGCGAUUGACGCUGAGGCACGAAAGUGCGGGUAUCGAA
RNAcentral lists this ribosomal RNA (245 nucleotides) under uncultured bacterium. RNAcentral describes it as "partial 16S ribosomal RNA". It matches the Rfam family "Bacterial small subunit ribosomal RNA", at positions 528 to 772 of the family's 1533-position model. The record is from RNAcentral.